UGGUCAAGGGGUUAAGACACCGCCUUUUCACGGCGGUAACACGGGUUCGAAUCCCGUACGGACUA
This 65-nucleotide transfer RNA is filed under the name Streptococcus agalactiae. Its description in RNAcentral is "tRNA-Glu". It matches the Rfam family "tRNA". Rfam says of the family: Transfer RNA (tRNA) molecules are approximately 80 nucleotides in length. Their secondary structure includes four short double-helical elements and three loops (D, anti-codon, and T loops). Further hydrogen bonds mediate the characteristic L-shaped molecular structure. tRNAs have two regions of fundamental functional importance: the anti-codon, which is responsible for specific mRNA codon recognition, and the 3' end, to which the tRNAs corresponding amino acid is attached (by aminoacyl-tRNA synthetases). tRNAs cope with the degeneracy of the genetic code in two manners: having more than one tRNA (with a specific anti-codon) for a particular amino acid; and 'wobble' base-pairing, i.e. permitting non-standard base-pairing at the 3rd anti-codon position. Lineage: Bacteria; Bacillati; Bacillota; Bacilli; Lactobacillales; Streptococcaceae. The record is from RNAcentral. RNAcentral also lists the same sequence under 2 other names.